This 76-nucleotide transfer RNA is filed under the name Francisella tularensis subsp. novicida U112. Its description in RNAcentral is "tRNA-Glu". The record is from RNAcentral. Lineage: Bacteria; Pseudomonadati; Pseudomonadota; Gammaproteobacteria; Thiotrichales; Francisellaceae.
UGGCAUCCCGUAGGGGAUUCGAACCCCUGUUGCCGCCGUGAAAGGGCGGUGUCCUAGGCCUCUAGACGAACGGGAC